Molecule: ribosomal RNA, 227 nt
Filed under: uncultured bacterium
Lineage: Bacteria
Description: partial 16S ribosomal RNA
Rfam family: Bacterial small subunit ribosomal RNA
Source: RNAcentral
CUGAACCAGCCAAGUAGCGUGAAGGAUGACUGCCCUAUGGGUUGUAAACUUCUUUUAUACGGGAAUAAAGUGAGGCACGUGUGCCUUUUUGUAUGUACCGUAUGAAUAAGGAUCGGCUAACUCCGUGCCAGCAGCCGCGGUAAUACGGAGGAUCCGAGCGUUAUCCGGAUUUAUUGGGUUUAAAGGGAGCGCAGACGGGUCGUUAAGUCAGUUGUGAAAGUUUGCGG